UACGUAGGGGGCAAGCGUUGUCCGGAUUCAUUGGGCGUAAAGAGCGUGUAGGCGGCCAGGUAGGUCGGUUGUGAAAACUGGAGGCUCAACCUUCAGAGGUCGACCGAAACCAUCUGGCUAGAGUCCGGGAGAGGAGAAUGGAAUUCCUGGUGUAGCGGUGAAAUGCGCAGAUAUCAGGAAGAACACCCGUGGCGAAGGCGGUUCUCUGGGACGGUACUGACGCUGAGACGCGAAAGCGUGGGGAGCGAACAGG
This 253-nucleotide ribosomal RNA is filed under the name uncultured bacterium. RNAcentral's name for it is "partial 16S ribosomal RNA". It matches the Rfam family "Bacterial small subunit ribosomal RNA", at positions 524 to 776 of the family's 1533-position model. The record is from RNAcentral.